UACGGAGGUGGCAAGCGUUACUCGGAUUGACUGGGUGUAAAGGGUCCGCAGGCGGUCAAGUAUGUAAAAGGUGAAAUCCUUAGGGCUCAACCCUAGAAUAGCCUUUUAAACUGCUUGGCUUGAGGUUGGGAGAGGAGAGCGGAACUGACGGUGUAAAGGUGAAAUUUGUGGAUAUCGUCAGGAACGCCCGAGGAGAAGUCGGCUCUCUGGCCCAAAUCUGACGCUCAGGGACGAAAGCUAGGGGA
This 245-nucleotide ribosomal RNA is filed under the name uncultured bacterium. RNAcentral describes it as "partial 16S ribosomal RNA". It matches the Rfam family "Bacterial small subunit ribosomal RNA", at positions 524 to 767 of the family's 1533-position model. The record is from RNAcentral.